GAUGAAGAACGUAGCGAAAUGCGAUAAGUAAUGUGAAUUGCAGAAUUCAGUGAAUCAUCGAAUCUUUGAACGCACCUUGCGCUCCUUGGUAUUCCGAGGAGCAUGCCUGUUUGAGUGUCAUUAUCACCCCUCAAGCCUAGCUUGGUGUUGAGGCCUGCUGUCAAGGCAGCCUCUAAAAUCAGUGGCAGUGCUGUCAGGCUCUAAGCGUAGUAAAUCUAAUCGCUAUAGACACCUGGUGGACACUCGCCAGAACCCCCCCAUUUUUUAAUGAUUGACCUCGGAUUAGGUAGGGAUACCCGCUGAACUUAAGCAUAUCAAUAAGCGGAGGA
RNAcentral lists this unclassified non-coding RNA (329 nucleotides) under soil metagenome. Its description in RNAcentral is "partial contains 5.8S ribosomal RNA, internal transcribed spacer 2, and large subunit ribosomal RNA". The stretch from base 1 to 120 matches the Rfam family "5.8S ribosomal RNA", at positions 35 to 154 of the family's 154-position model. The record is from RNAcentral.